GACGAACGCUGGCGGCGUGCCUAACACAUGCAAGUCGAACGGAAAGGCCUCUUUCGGGGGGUACUCGAGUGGCGAACGGGCGAGUAACACGUGAGUAACCUGCCCUUGACUUUGGGAUAACUUCAGGAAACGGGGGAUAAUACCGGAUAGGAGAUCCUGCUUCCGGGUGGGGGCUGGAAAGUUUCGGCGGUUGGGGGUGGAUUCGAGGCGUAUCCGCUUGUUGGUGGGGGAGUGGCUUACCAACGCUUUGACGGGUAGCCGGCCAGUGGGAGUGACAGGCGGCAUUGAGACUGAGGUGCGGCCGCGGCUCCUACUGGUGGCAGAAGGGGGGAAGCUUGCACAAUGGGUGGAGGCCUGAUGCAGCAGCGCCGUGUGCGGUAUAACGCUCUUCGUGUUGUAGACCGCUUUCGCUCUUGACCACGCUUUUUGUGACGGUAGUGGGUAAAGAAGCACCGGCUAACUACGUG
RNAcentral lists this ribosomal RNA (467 nucleotides) under uncultured bacterium. RNAcentral's name for it is "partial 16S ribosomal RNA". It matches the Rfam family "Bacterial small subunit ribosomal RNA", at positions 28 to 507 of the family's 1533-position model. The record is from RNAcentral.